AAAGAAACCAACAGGGAUUGCCUCAGUAACGGCGAGUGAAGCGGCAACAGCUCAAAUUUGAAAUCUGGCCCUAGGCCCGAGUUGUAAUUUGCAGAGGAUGCUUUUGGCGCGGUGCCUUCCGAGUUCCCUGGAACGGGACGCCAUAGAGGGUGAGAGCCCCGUCUGGUUGGACACCAAGCCUCUGUAAAGCUCCUUCGACGAGUCGAGUAGUUUGGGAAUGCUGCUCAAAAUGGGAGGUAUAUGUCUUCUAAAGCUAAAUACCGGCCAGAGACCGAUAGCGCACAAGUAGAGUGAUCGAAAGAUGAAAAGCACUUUGAAAAGAGAGUUAAAUAGCACGUGAAAUUGUUGAAAGGGAAGCGUUUAUGACCAGACUUGGGCCGGUUAAUCAUCCAGCGUUCUCGCUGGUGCACUUUGCCGGUCCAGGCCAGCAUCAGUUCGCCGCGGGGGAUAAAGGCUUCGGGAACGUAGCUCUUCGGAGUGUUAUAGCCCGUUGCGUAAUACCCUGCGGUGGACUGAGGUUCGCGCUCUGCAAGGAUGCUGGCGUAAUGGUCAUCAACGACCCGUCUUGAAACACGGACCAAGGAGUCGUCUUCGUAUGCGAGUGUUCGGGUGUAAAACCCCUACGCGUAAUGAAAGUGAACGCAGGUGAGAGCUUCGGCGCAUCAUCGACCGAUCCUGAUGUUCUCGGAUGGAUUUGAGUAAGAGCAUACGGGGCCGGACCCGAAAGAAGGUGAACUAUGCUUGUAUAGGGUGAAGCCAGAGGAAACUCUGGUGGAGGCUCGCAGCGGUUCUGACGUGCAAAUCGAUCGUCAAAUAUGAGCAUGGGGGCGAAAGACUAAUCGAACCUUCUAGUAGCUGGUUUCCGCCGAAGUUUCCCUCAGGA
This 883-nucleotide ribosomal RNA is filed under the name Parasarcopodium ceratocaryi. RNAcentral's name for it is "eukaryotic LSU rRNA". It matches the Rfam family "Eukaryotic large subunit ribosomal RNA", at positions 58 to 978 of the family's 3401-position model. The record is from RNAcentral. Lineage: Eukaryota; Fungi; Ascomycota; Sordariomycetes; Hypocreales; Stachybotryaceae.